AGAGUUUGAUCCUGGCUCAGAACGAACGCUGGCGGCGUGUUUAAGACAUGCAAGUCGCACGGGACAAGUUGAGUAGUAAUACGAUUCUUGUUUAGUGGCGCACGGGUGAGUAACAUGUGAAUUACAUGCCCUUCAGUGGGGAAUAGCCCAGGGAAACUUGGAUUAAUACCCCAUGGUAUCGCAAGAUUAAAGGUGGCCGCAAGGCUGUCGCUGAAGGAUUGGUUCGCACCCUAUCAGCUUGUUGGUGAGGUAAUGGCUCACCAAGGCUACGACGGGUACCUGGUCUGAGAGGACGAUCAGGCACACUGGAACUGAGACACGGUCCAGACACCUACGGGUGGCAGCAGUCGAGAAUAAUUCACAAUGGGGGCAACCCUGAUGGUGCAACGCCGCGUGGAGGAUGACGGUCUUCGGAUUGUAAACUCCUGUCAUCUGGGAGUAAGACCUGGCGAUGAAUAGUCGACAGGGUUGAUAGUACCAGAAGAGGAAGGGACGGCUAACUUCGUGCCAGCAGCCGCGGUAAUACGAAGGUCCCAAGCGUUGUUCGGAAUCACUGGGCGUAAAGGGAGCGUAGGCGGCGUGGUAAGUCAGAUGUGAAAUCCCGGGGCUCAACCCCGGAACUGCAUCCGAUACUGCCAUGCUAGAGGAUUGGAGAGGUAGCUGGAAUUCUUGGUGUAGCAGUGAAAUGCGUAGAGAUCAAGAGGAACACUCGUGGCGAAAGCGAGCUACUGGACAAUUCCUGACGCUGAGGCCCGAAGGCUAGGGUAGCGAAAGGGAUUAGAUACCCCUGUAGUCCUAGCAGUAAACGGUGCACGCUUGGUGUGAGGGGAAUCGACCCCCCUUGUGCCGGAGCUAACGCGUUAAGCGUGCCGCCUGGGAAGUACGGUCGCAAGACUAAAACUCAAAGAAAUUGACGGGGACCCGCACAAGCGGUGAGUAUGUGGCUUAAUUCGAUGCAACGCGAAGAACCUUACCAAGGCUUGACAUGCAUCUCUAAACACGUGAAAGCGUGUGACCCUUCGGGGAAUUUGCACAGGUGCUGCAUGGCCGUCGUCAGCUCGUGUCGUGAGAUGUUGGGUUAAGUCCCGCAACGAGCGCAACCCUUGUGAUUAGUUGCCAGCACGUCAUGGUGGGAACUCUAGUCAGACUGCCCAGAUCAACUGGGAGGAAGGUGGGGACGACGUCAGGUCAGUAUGGCCCUUACGCCUUGGGCUGCACACGUACUACAAUGCCCAGCACAAUGAGAACCGAGACCGCGAGGUGGAGGAAAUCUGCAAAACUGGGCUCAGUUCGGAUUGGAGGCUGCAACUCGCCUCCAUGAAGUUGGAAUCGCUAGUAAUGGGGCAUCAUCUACGGCCCCGUGAAUACGUUCCCGGGUCUUGUACACACCGCCCGUCACAUCAUGGAAGCCGGUCGCACCCGAAGUGCUCGCACCAACCGCAAGGGGGUAGAGUCCUAAGGUGUAGCUGGUAACUGGGAUGAAGUCGUAACAAGGUA
Molecule: ribosomal RNA, 1497 nt
Filed under: metagenome
Description: bacterial SSU rRNA
Rfam family: Bacterial small subunit ribosomal RNA
Source: RNAcentral